This 31-nucleotide non-coding RNA is filed under the name Macaca fascicularis (crab-eating macaque). RNAcentral also lists the same sequence under 1 other name. Lineage: Eukaryota; Metazoa; Chordata; Mammalia; Primates; Cercopithecidae. The record is from RNAcentral.
UGAAGGUUACCUGAAAUCUUGUUGGUCCUGU